RNAcentral lists this transfer RNA (94 nucleotides) under Alphaproteobacteria bacterium. RNAcentral's name for it is "tRNA-Ile". It matches the Rfam family "tRNA". From Rfam's summary of the family: Transfer RNA (tRNA) molecules are approximately 80 nucleotides in length. Their secondary structure includes four short double-helical elements and three loops (D, anti-codon, and T loops). The record is from RNAcentral. Lineage: Bacteria; Pseudomonadati; Pseudomonadota; Alphaproteobacteria.
GGGGGAGUAGCUCAAUUGGCAGAGCGGUGGCUUUAUAAGCCAUGAGCGCCAGAUCAGCGCACGGUUGCGGGUUCGAGUCCCGCCUCCCCUACCA